Molecule: long non-coding RNA, 496 nt
Organism: Homo sapiens (human)
Lineage: Eukaryota; Metazoa; Chordata; Mammalia; Primates; Hominidae
Product: long intergenic non-protein coding RNA 1912
Source: Ensembl
AAGGUUCUCAAAGAGAUGGCCCAGCCUAGGUGUAUGAGGUGUGGGGGAGGAAAGCACAGGCAUCCCUGAGAAGCCUGUUGGAGAAUCAGCAUCCUCAGGGGAGAUUCGAGUUUCAAUCGGAGCAAGAAGCAUCCCAGAGGCACUUUAACCAAACCCUGGAGAGAGAAGAAAUAAGUAUAUUACUGUGUCGUCUUUGCACAGCAAGAACUUAGCAUCAUCCUCUUGUAUUUUGGAUUUUGUUUCCUAUUUCCUCAGUUUAAUCUUCUCAGCCAUAGGUCAUAAAGAUGGCGAUGGUUAUUUCCUUCCUCAUACCCAUGGUUUGUUACAAUGUGACUUUGCGGUUCUUCCCAUCAGUAAACAGAAGCCAUUUUCUUACUCCUUGCCUCUGGAUGGGCCUUGUGGCUUGCUUUGAGCAAUAGAACGCAUCAGAAGGUGACCUCAUGCCAGUUUCAUGCCUUGGCUUCAGGAGGCCUUGAAUUCUCUGCUGCUCCUUAGG